AGGAAACAGGGGAGCACUCCCAAUCCCAGGGCUUAUGGGCUGAAAGACUUCAAUGCAGCUCUGGAAUGUCUCUAGGUGUUCCAGUGUGUUACAGGGCAACCAUUAGGUUUUGCUCACCCUAACUUAGAUCA
Non-coding RNA from Pogona vitticeps (central bearded dragon), 131 nucleotides. Lineage: Eukaryota; Metazoa; Chordata; Lepidosauria; Squamata; Agamidae. The record is from RefSeq and is a predicted model, not a curated record.